This is a long non-coding RNA of Rosa chinensis, 514 nucleotides long. RefSeq lists it as uncharacterized. Lineage: Eukaryota; Viridiplantae; Streptophyta; Magnoliopsida; Rosales; Rosaceae. The transcript has 3 exons. The record is from RefSeq and is a predicted model, not a curated record.
ACAACAUUUUGCUUUAUUUGCACUCAUUUAACCUUAGGAGAGAAGGAUUGGAGGGUGAUGAGCUAAGAAGGAAUUCUGAUGUCAUGGAGAUCCUAAAGAAGACAAGUUUCCAAAGGUUAUUGGCUCUAGCGCGUUGAAAACCCCAUAAACAACCCUGGAGCAUGAGUAAGAGUUUUGCUGAUCAACUAUUGAUUAAAGACUGAUUACAACUUAAGCAUAUGUAAAAAAAUGCAUGAUCAGUUGAAGCUCUCAAAACCACUCUGGAAGGCUCCCUCCUAAUACCAAAGACGAACGAUGCAAGGACAAUGUUGCACCUAUAUAUGUAAUGGUACCCAUGAUCACAGGAAUAUAGCAUUUCCUGCGUAUAAAGCUUUUGAGGCUGUCGCGGUUGCUUUCCAUAAUGGUUAUUUUUCCAUUUCCUGCCUAUUGAUAACAUCCUUGUGUAUUUCAAUCAAUUAUCGUCUUACAAUGUAAAUAUGACAUUUGAAUAUAAUAUGAGGGUAAUAUGAAUAUG